AUGGAGGAGGAGGACCAAUCGGCAGUGCUGGUCGCUGAAGGUGCCAUCAAGAGCAUAAAGCUCAGCCUCUCCACCGAGGAGGAGAUAUGUACCUACUCUAUAAAUGACUGUCCUGUUACUCAUCCUAGUCAGCUUGGGAAUCCUUUCCUUGGCUUACCACUGGAAACAGGCAAAUGCGAGUCAUGUGGUGCCACGGAAAACGGCAAAUGCGAAGGGCAUUUCGGGUUCAUUGAGCUGCCUGUACCUGUAUAUCACCCGUGUCAUGUCAGUGAGCUUAGGCAACUACUGAGCAUGGUAUGUCUGAUGUGCCUUCGUAUCAAGAAAGGAAAGGUUAAACAGAAGAAUGGAAAGGAAAAUGUGUCGGUAACGGCAUGUCAUUACUGUCGGGGUCUCCCGGCACUAUAUCUGAAGGAAAUCAAGACAGAAGAUGGUGCAUUUCGUUUAGAGUUGAGAGCACCCCCAAAGAAACACAUGACAGAACGCUCUUGGGACUUCCUAAACAAAUAUGGGGAGUUUCACCAUGGUGGAGCCUCUCACUGUAGGACAUUGCUUCCAGUAGAGGCUUUUAAUAUAUUAAAGAAGAUUCCGGAUGACACGAAAAAAAAGCUAGCUGCACGGGGAUUCAUUGCUCAGCCUGGAUAUGUAAUGAAAUAUCUUCCAGUGCCACCUAACUGCCUCUAUAUUCCAGAAUUCACAGACGGGCAGAGCAUCAUGUCCUAUGACAUCUCUAUAUCUUUGUUGAAAAAGAUACUUCAAAAGAUAGAGCAAAUAAAAAAAUCAAGAUCUGGUUCCCCAAACUUUGAGUCACAUGAUUCUGAAUCAGCUGAUCUGCAACUUUCUAUUGGCCAAUAUAUACAGCUCAGGGGAACUACAAAGGGUCCUCAAGACGCAAAGAGAUUUGCAGUUAGCACAGAUUCAUCUCAUUUGUCAACAAAGCAAUGGCUCGAAAAGAUGAAAACACUUUUUAUCAGCAAAGGAUCAGGAUUUUCAUCACGCAGUGUACUUACUGGAGACCCGUAUAUUGGAGCAGAUGUAGUUGGACUGCCUUCUGAAGUGGCAAAAAGAAUUACUUUUGAAGAACAGGUUACAGAUAUCAACAUAAAUAGAUUGCAAGAGGUUGUUGACAAGGGAUUGUGUUUGACUUAUAGAGAUGGUCAAACAACAUAUGCAAUCACUGUAGGAUCAAAAGGAUAUACCACUCUUAAAGUGGGUCAAACGAUCAGUAGAAGAAUCGUUGAUGGUGAUGUUGUGUUCCUUAACAGGCCACCUAGUACUCACAAGCAUUCUCUCCAGGCAUUUACUGUAUACAUCCACGAUGAUCAUACCGUCAAAAUCAACCCCCUUAUAUGCUCUCCUCUUGCAGCAGAUUUUGAUGGUGAUUGUGUGCAUAUUUAUUAUCCUCAGUCACUUGCUGCUAAAGCGGAAGCAUUGGAACUUUUCAGUGUGGAGAAGCAACUGACUAACUCACACAACGGAAAAGUAAAUCUCCAGCUAGCGAAUGACAGCUUGCUUGCUCUGAAGCACAUGUCUUCUAGAACCAUGUUAAGCAAAGAAUCAGCAAACCAGCUGGCAAUGCUCCUGUCGCUUUCUCUUCCUCCCCCUGCUGUGGUCAAGUCUAAGCCAUGCUGGACAAUCGCACAAAUAAUGCAAAGUGCGUUGCCAGCAGAAUUGACUUGUGAAGGGGAUAGAUUCCUAGUUAGGGACAGCACUGUUAUAAAACUGGAUAUUGACAAAGAAUCCGUUCAGGCCUCGUUUUCGGACUUGGUGUCCUCCAUUCUUGCUGUUAAGGGACCAGGAGAUGCGCUCAAGUUUUUGAAUGCGCUGCAACCCCUUCUGAUGGAAUUCUUGCUUCUGGAUGGCUUUAGUGUAAGCCUGCAAGAUUUUAGUGUACCCAAGCCUUUGUUGGAAGAAGCACAGGAGUGUAUUAAAAAGCAGUCUCUUGUACUGGAGCAGUCAAGGUGCUCGAGUAGCCAGUCUGUGGAAACAAGAGUUGACAACAAUCUGAAGGAUGUCAAACAACAAAUUGCAGAUUUUGUCGUGAAAUCCUCUCGUCUUGGUCUUCUAAUUGACCCAAAGAGUGACUCUUCAGUGUCAAAAGUUGUUCAACAGCUUGCUUUUGUUGGUCCGCAGCUCUACCGCGAGGGGAAGUUCUAUUCAAGGCGUCUGGUGGACGAUUGCUUCUCAAGUUUUGUCAAUAGACACCCACCGAUUGAAGAUGGAGUUCAACACCCACCAGAGGCGUAUGGUCUUGUGCAAAGUGCAUAUUUUCAUGGUCUCAAUCCUUAUGAGGAGCUAGUACAUUCUAUAUGUACAAGAGAAACUAUUGUCCGCUCCUCAAGAGGGUUGACAGAACCAGGAACUCUGUUCAAGAGUCUAAUGGCCAUCUUGCGAGACGUAGUUAUAUGCUAUGAUGGAACUGUGAGAAACAUCUGCAGCAAUUCAAUCAUGCAGCUGAAGUACAAAGAAGAAGAUGACACAGAUUUUCCAAGUGCUAUAGCUCCUGGAGAACCGGUGGGUGUCUUAGCUGCCACUGCUAUCUCCAACCCUGCUUAUAAGACUGUCUUGGACUCUUCUCAGAGUAAUAAUACUUCAUGGGAGUUGAUGAAGGAAAUACUUAAGACAAAAGUUAGCUAUAAAAAUGAUGCGAAGGAUCGAAAAGUUAUCCUGUUCCUGAAUGACUGCUCUUGCCCCAAGAAAUUUUGCAAAGAGAAGGCUGCUAUUGCAGUGCAGGGUUGCCUAAAGAGAGUCACACUAGAGGAUUGUGCCACUGACAUCUGCAUCGAGUAUAAGAAACAAGUUAGUUUAGAUGCAAUUUCAGAAGCCACGCCAGCAUUUGUUGGCCAUAUUCAUCUUGAAAAGGCACAUUUAGAAAAGAUAAACGUUAGCACUGAUGAGAUUCUUCAGAAAUGCCAAGAAGUUUCUGGGAAACAUGCCAAUAAGAAAGGAACUCUUGGUCACCUGUUUAAAAAGAUUACUUUCUCUACUUGUGAUUGUUCAUUUGCGCAGAAGCCGGGUGAUGGGAAGGUUCCAUGUUUGCAGUUCUCUUUUUCUGAGGACAUCCCUAUGUUAUCUGAUUCCGUUGAGAAAGCAGUGAAUGUGUUAGCCGAUUCUCUCUGUGGUGUGCUUCUGGAGAUAAUCAUAAAAGGUGAUCCUCGAGUUCAAGAGGCUAAAAUUACGUGGGUUGGGUCUGAUGCAACGUCUUGGGUUAAACAUACAAAGAAGAUAUCAAAGGGUGAGCCAGCAGUAGAAAUUAUUGUUGAGAAAAAGGAAGCUAUGCAGAACGGUGAUGCAUGGAGAAUUGCCAUGGAUGCAUGUAUACCAGUCAUGAACCUCAUUGACACACAAAGGUCAAUUCCUUAUGGUAUUCAGCAAGUGCGAGAACUUCUUGGCAUAUCAUGCUCCUUUGAUCAAGUUGUUCAGCGCCUUUCGAAAACCAUGAAGACGGUUGCUAAAGGAAUUCUGAAGGACCAUUUGGUUCUUGUGGCAAACAGCAUGACAUGCACUGGGAACUUGAAUGGGUUCCACAAUGGUGGUUACAGGGCGACCUUUCGUUCAUUAAAAGUUCAAGUACCUUUUACAGAGGCCACCUUGCUUACCCCUAUGAAAUGCUUCGAGAAGGCUGCUGAGAAAUGCCAUUCUGAUUCAUUGGGUUCUGUGGUCUCAUCCUGUUCGUGGGGCAAGCAUGCAGCACUUGGUACUGGGUCAUCUUUUCAGAUUCUUUGGAACGAAAAUCAGCUGAAAAGCAACAAGGAAUAUGGUGAUGGCCUGUAUGAUUUCCUGGCCUUGGUGAGGACCGACCAAGAAAAGGCUGCUUACACAUUCUUGGAUGAUGUGGACUACCUUGUUGAAGACAACGCAAUGGAUGAUAUUUGCUUAUCACCAGAAAUGGAUGGGACCCAUGGUAUGCCCACUUUUGAAGAUGAUCCUGAACAGCAAAAUACUGAGAAGGACAGCUCAUGGGAAAAUGGCACAACGGCGGGUGCAAGCUGGGAACGAAAUGCAAAUGCUGGGAAUGAUUCUGGUAACUGGGGAGGAGGCUCAACAGUGGAGAAUGAUUCCACUGAUUGGGCAGGCUGGGGCACUGGACCUGCAAAUGACAAAAAGAUUGUAUCCGGAGAACCAGCUGAACCCGACACUUGGGCUGACCAGGGUGCUAAAAAGGAUACGGAAGGAGGCUGGAAUAAUGCAGCUGCAGCUGCUGACACAGGAGCUGCAAAACCAGCAGAGCAAGACAAGUCAUGUUGGAAUGCGCCCCCAGCAGUGGAGAAUGAUUCCUCUGGUUGGGGAGGCUGGGGCACUGGAAACGCAAAGGACAAAAAUAUUGCAUCUGAAGGAUCAGCUGAAGUCGAUACUUGGGCUGAUCAGAGUGGUAAAAGGGAUACUGAUGGAGGUGGUGCUAACUGGGACAAAAUGAAAGUGAAGGAUCACAAUAUGCAGCAAGACCAAUGGGGUCAUGUGCCAUCCCAGAAUGUUGAUGCACAGGAUGAUCCAUGGGGGAGUGUAGCAGGUGUGGCUCAACCUUCUACCGCAAAGCAUAUUGAUGCACAGAAUGAUUCCUGGGGGAGCGUGGCAGCGAAAGCUCAAACUUCUACUGCAGAGCCUAUGGACGCAGGGAAUGGUUCCUGGGGGAGUGUGGCAGCGAAGGCUCAGACUUAUACUGCACAGCAGGAGUCCUGGGGUAAUGUGUCUGCUUCACCAUCAGAUAAUGCGUGGGGUGCUGCUCCAGUUUCCCAGGGACCUGAUAACUCGGAUGCAAAGCAGCCAGAUUCUUGGGAUGGCUGGGGUUCUGCUGCUCCAGUUUCCCAGGGACCUGAUAACUCGGAUGCAAAGCAGCCAGAUUCUUGGGAUGGCUGGGGUUCUGCUGCUCCAGUUUCCCAGGGAGAUAAUUCAGAUGCAAAGCAGCCAGAUUCUUGGGAUGGCUGGGGUUCUGCUCAAGCCGAUGACUCGAGUACUGAUAAAUGGAAGACCAAUGCUUCUGGCAACAACAAAGGCUGGAAAUCAGAUGGAUGGGAGGCCAAAGAAAACCGGAGGGACCAAAGAGACAAUCCAGGCAGGCCUCCAAUAAGACCUCCUGUUGAGAGGCCACCAAGGCCACGGUACGAACUGCCAGCUGAGGCGAAAAAGGUUCUACAAGAAAUUGAACCCAUUGUAACAAUGGUCAGAAAGAUCUUCCGUGAAUCAAGUGAUGGCAUAAGGCUUCCCCUGGAGGACGAAAAGUUUAUCAUAGAAAAAGUUCUGGAGCACCACCCUGAAAAGGAAAAGAAGGUGUCUGGUGAAAUUGAUCAUAUAAUGGUCAACAAGCACCACGUUUUCCAGGACAGCCGGUGCUUCUAUGUUGUGUCAUCAGAUGGGACCCAAACAGACUUCUCCUACAUCAAGUGCAUGGACAACUACGUGAGGAAGAACCACGAGGAGCACGCCGAGCUCAUCUGCGAGAUGCACUUCAAGAAGCGCAACCGCGAUCGACCACCAACGGUCGACGGAGCCGCGGCACCAGCCACUGAAGCCGGGGCGUCUCAGCCGGCUCCGGGUGAGGACUUGGAAGCCGCUCUGCCAGGCCCACCGCCAGGAACUCCACCUCCUACAGCGAUCACCCAGCACGAGACUCCAGCUUCUCCGGCUGCGGCUCCAGAAGAUGAUCUGCCUCUGCCUCCUCCCCCUCCACUGACCCAGCAUGAGGAUGGAACGCCAGAAGAUGAUCUGCCGCUGCCUCCUCCUCCUCCACUGCCCCAGCAGGAGGCUGGAACGCCAGGUUCAGCGGCAGCGGCAGGAGCCGUCGAUGACAAGUGGGCAGGGGCCGGCGAUGACAAGUGGGCGGGAGGCGCCGAUGACAAGUGGGUCUAG
This 5844-nucleotide ribosomal RNA is filed under the name Triticum aestivum (bread wheat). RNAcentral's name for it is "partial small subunit ribosomal RNA". The record is from RNAcentral. Lineage: Eukaryota; Viridiplantae; Streptophyta; Magnoliopsida; Poales; Poaceae.